RNAcentral lists this small RNA (148 nucleotides) under Pongo abelii (Sumatran orangutan). RNAcentral describes it as "Metazoan signal recognition particle RNA (ENSPPYG00000033128.1)". It matches the Rfam family "Metazoan signal recognition particle RNA". From Rfam's summary of the family: The signal recognition particle (SRP) is a universally conserved ribonucleoprotein. It is involved in the co-translational targeting of proteins to membranes. The eukaryotic SRP consists of a 300-nucleotide 7S RNA and six proteins: SRPs 72, 68, 54, 19, 14, and 9. Lineage: Eukaryota; Metazoa; Chordata; Mammalia; Primates; Hominidae. The record is from Rfam by way of RNAcentral.
ACUGGGCAUGGUGGUGCAUGCCUGUAGUCCCAGCUACUCAGGAGGCUGAGGCAGGAGGAUCGCUUGAGCCCAGGAGGCAGAGGCUGCAGUGAGCUGAGAUUGCACCACUGCACUCCAGCCUGGGCAACAUAGGGAGAUCCUGUCUCAA